UACGUAGGGGGCAAGCGUUGUCCGGAAUUAUUGGGCGUAAAGCGCGCGCAGGCGGUCUUUUAAGUCUUGUGUUUAAGCCCGUGGCUCAACCACGGUACGCAUGGGAAACUGGGAGACUGGAGUGCAGGAGAGGAAAGUGGAAUUCCACGUGUAGCGGUGAAAUGCGUAGAGAUGUGGAGGAACACCAGUGGCGAAGGCGGCUUUCUGGCCUGUAACUGACGCUGAGGCGCGAAAGCGUGGGGAGCAAACAGG
This 252-nucleotide ribosomal RNA is filed under the name uncultured bacterium. RNAcentral's name for it is "partial 16S ribosomal RNA". It matches the Rfam family "Bacterial small subunit ribosomal RNA", at positions 524 to 776 of the family's 1533-position model. The record is from RNAcentral.